This 218-nucleotide long non-coding RNA is filed under the name Elaeis guineensis (African oil palm). Its description in RNAcentral is "long non-coding RNA (EGUI_LNC007882)". Lineage: Eukaryota; Viridiplantae; Streptophyta; Magnoliopsida; Arecales; Arecaceae. The record is from RNAcentral.
CUGGCAUUAUUUGUGCCUGGCAAGAGCUGUGGAUAGAGAGGAUCACUAUUUAGGAAGAUUUUAUGAUCAUGAUAGGCUGGAUUCAGAGCGACACGUUGCAGUCGAAGGCACAUCCGCUCAUUCAGGAUAUUGGGAUCUGCCUUCAUGACUUCACUACGGUCUCUAUUUAGCAUGUUUUCCAAGAGAUGAACAGUACUGCUGAUUGGGUUGCCUCCUAU